CAAAGCUGGCUCAAGCUCCCAACAGCCACAUGCCUUCUGGAGAGACACCAACUUCAGCAAAGUGUCUCUGCUAGGCUGCUUGGUCCAAGAGUCUGUGCGUCGUCGCACAUUGAAGGAAAAAGACAAAGCAAGUGUAAAAUAAUAGAAUCCUUUUGGAUUAUUACCGAAUGCUCUGCACCACAGUAUUGCUGCCUGCUGAUUCAGCCCAACCACUACCCCAGCAUCCACCUGCAGGCACCGGCUAGAGGGACAAUACUUACUCAUCACUCCCCAGUAUCUCAUGUGCAUACAUAUCAGCGGAAAGUGAUGAGCCACCUAGCUUCUGCUUCAUUCUGGAGAAUAAUGCUGUGCUGCGGGGAGACUGAGGUGCAGCAACUGUUGAGAGAGCACAGUAAAACACAGCCUGAUGCAACUUACGACUUGGACAUCUUGGACAACAAAUUACAUGACAUAGCAGAGGUCCUCAUACCCGACGCUAUAAAAUGAAAAACAAAAGAGAGAAGACUAUGAGGUCAAGUAAAUAUUAGAUGAGAAAAACAAAAAAAUAUCAGCUAAUAAAAUACUGGUUUCUCAGUUUAUUGCAAUGACUCACAACAACUAGUAGUAUUACGCAAGAUGUUCAAAUAUUCAAAAGUGCAACUUAUUACAAACACAGACAGGUAUGUGAACAGGUAAUUACACACAAAUACACUGUGAUAACAGAGGAAAUACUUUUAUCUCAUAAUAUAAUAAGAGUGAUUAAUAGAUUUGUGAUUACACCAUUUUGCUUCUCUGUACUAUUUCGUUGCCCUAGGCAACUGCAUAUGUUGCCUACACCCAGGACUGCUAAAGUCUACCAGAGGCAAUACAACUCCUACAUACAGUAGUUCACAGUAAAAGCUGCAAGAAAUUAAAGAGCAUUUCUGACACAAAAAUGUAUUUUGUAUUUCUUUAUAUUCGAAUUCAGCUUUUU
Thunnus maccoyii (southern bluefin tuna) is the source of this 952-nucleotide long non-coding RNA. RefSeq lists it as uncharacterized. The transcript has 3 exons. The record is from RefSeq and is a predicted model, not a curated record. Lineage: Eukaryota; Metazoa; Chordata; Actinopteri; Scombriformes; Scombridae.